Molecule: RNA transcript, 2217 nt
Organism: Cynocephalus volans (Philippine flying lemur)
Lineage: Eukaryota; Metazoa; Chordata; Mammalia; Dermoptera; Cynocephalidae
Gene: MEAF6
Gene name: MYST/Esa1 associated factor 6
Exons: 9
Source: RefSeq, a predicted model, not a curated record
UCCGGGACCGCCCCCAGCCUGGCGCCUCUGCCGCUCUCCUCAGCCCAACAUGGCGAUGCACAACAAGGCGGCGCCGCCGCAGAUCCCGGACACCCGGCGGGAGCUGGCGGAGCUCGUGAAGCGGAAGCAGGAGCUGGCGGAAACACUGGCAAACUUGGAGAGACAGAUCUAUGCUUUUGAAGGAAGUUACCUGGAAGACACUCAGAUGUAUGGCAAUAUUAUUCGUGGCUGGGAUCGGUAUCUGACCAACCAAAAAAAUUCCAAUAGCAAAAAUGAUCGAAGGAAUCGGAAGUUUAAGGAAGCUGAGCGGCUCUUCAGUAAAUCCUCAGUUACAUCAGCAGCUGCAGUAAGUGCAUUGGCAGGAGUUCAGGACCAGCUCAUUGAAAAGAGGGAGCCAGGAAGUGGGACGGAAAGUGAUACUUCUCCAGACUUCCACAAUCAGGAAAAUGAGCCCAGCCAGGAGGACCCUGAGGAUCUGGAUGGAUCUGUGCAGGGAGUGAAACCUCAGAAGGCUGCUUCUUCCACUUCCUCAGGGAGUCAUCACAGCAGCCAUAAAAAGCGAAAGAAUAAAAACCGGCACAGCCCGUCUGGCAUGUUUGAUUAUGACUUUGAGUAUGUAUAUUAGGUUAGGCUGGGAAGUUUUUUUUAAAAACAGAAAAACGUGAUGGAGGAUUGAUCUGAAGUUAAACAAAAAACCACGAGCUGACUAUUAGAAGACUCAUUAGUGCAGAAGCUUCCAGGCUGUAGAGCCCUGCUUCCCUUCUCCGACCUCACAAAGAUAAACAUCCCUCAUCUGAGUGCGUGGCCAUCCACCUCUGCUCUCCCAGACCCAGUGCCUGUAUCUCUGAGUAGUUUAUUCUAAAUGUGGUUGACAAGUCAUUUCUAUAAGACAUCAGAUCGUUUACUUUGUGUCAUUUUUAGUAGCAGAACUGCAGGAAGACCAAAACAUGGUUAUAAUCCCAGCAAGUUGCUAACUGUGCAUUUCUCCCUUCUUAGAAUGAAUGUCUCCCCCUCAAACUGGCUGGCACCAGCUUCAUCUAUGAUACCUAUCAAGAAAUGUUCUCUGGUUUUGUUUUAUGCUGAAAGUAGAACACAAGUCACAUUUCAAAUGGAGGCUGUAAAUAUCUAACAUUUUCUUAUUUUGUUUUGUGUUUUAUUAUUUUUCUAUUGUUGUUUUUACCAUCUUAUUUUCUUUGGGUACUUUUUGUAAUGCCUUUUGUACAGCUCAUACCUUACUGCUGACAUAUCUGAUAAUCUGCUUCUUGCAGUUGCCAGUAUUCUUAACUGAAAAUAAUCUGGUUUACCAUAAGUAAAAUGAGGAACUUGGCUCUUUGUUUUUUUGCAAGGAGAAGGUAAAGUGUGUUUAUUUAAUAAUUACCUAUCUUAAAUCUCAGUUGGAAGCAAUUUUAUGUUCAAGGAACAGGAAAAACUGAAAAACAUAAGUUUAAAUCAAUCAGUCAUUUUAAAAUAGAUAUUUUAAUUCUUUUGUAUAAAUAAAAUUUCAUAGGCUUUGACUUCUCAUGUUUUACUUUUAAACCUGAGAUUGUUUUUUCACUUAUUUUAUUUAUUCAUAUCAUGCCUUAUGGAAAUUUCUUUUUCCAUCUUUUCUCUCUUUGCUCGUAUUUGUCUGAUUAAAUAUUGCUCUAACAAUCAUCAAGGCAUAUGGAACGACUUAAAAUUACACCAAAAACUGAUAACAUGGAGUUCUUGAAUGGAGUGAAAGAUAACAUUAGUGAGAGCCAGUGUUGCUCAAUAGAUCCCCUUCCUCACAGGCAUUGAUGGGCCGAGGAACUUGCUAAUAAUUGUUACCUGCCUCUAGUGCAGUGGUGAUCUACCUUGGCUGAACAUUGGAAUCAUCUGGGAAGCUUAAAAAAAUACUGAUGCCUGGGUUCUACCCCCACAGACUCUGAGGUACAGCCUAAUUAAGGGAUUUCCUUUCAAAGAGUCCCUGGGAUUCUGAUAAGAAGCCAAGUUGAAAACCACUGCAUUAGAAGAUUAAGUGGUUUGAAUUAAGUCCUAUGUUAUGGAUCAGUCUAGGGCAUAAGAUUUAGGGUUUCACCUUUCCUUUGACUCUAUUUAGUCAUAGUCCCUUACUUAUGCCAUUAUCUUUGUAAGAGAAAAUAUGUUCCAUUUGUGAUAAUAUUGGUAGAGCUGAAUAUGGAUGGCAUCUAUUAACAAAACAAGUUUACCUUGUCAGAUGUGCAAAAGCUCUCACUC